RNAcentral lists this ribosomal RNA (2794 nucleotides) under Triticum aestivum (bread wheat). RNAcentral's name for it is "partial small subunit ribosomal RNA". Lineage: Eukaryota; Viridiplantae; Streptophyta; Magnoliopsida; Poales; Poaceae. The record is from RNAcentral.
GGUGCUGGAUUGGCAGUCUUCCAGAGUUGCUAGGAAGAAGAAGAUGGGUAAGCUCCUCUUUCUCUUCUAUUGACUAGCUUGAUUUAGUUUCCAGCAGCAGAAAAUAGUGUAUGAGACCUGUUCGUGUCUGUCAGUCAAGAUUAGAGUUGUAGCCCUGUCUCCAACUACAUGUUGAAUACUAACAAUUUUGCUGGAAAAAGAAGAAAGAUUGAAUCAUAGUUUGCACUAAAUGAAAAUGAAGUUUCAUUUUUACAUUUUGUUCACUCACUGGGAGGGUCACUGUUUAUAUGCUUGCUUCACCUUUUUCUGUAUCACCAUGGAAAUCAUUUGUACAUGAGCUCUGGAACAAGGAAAACAAUAAUCACAAGGAGGCUUAAUAAGGUAUGUCCAAAGUAAUCGUGGUUCCUCUACAUAUGGAAAUGAUAAAUCAUAGAACUGUUUGCAGAUAUAUUUCAGUUCACCCAUAACAGAUUCUGAUAUAUUUUUCUGUAUGUGAGAUAUAACCAUAUUCUUAUUUCACUACUAAUAUUACUGCCUAAUUCUACAUAUCAGUUGUAUCGCGCUACUCUGCUAAUACUCUAGAUUCUGGAGGAUCUUCUGUUUUUAGGUUAUUGUUAUCUUCCAGCCUUUAUCAUACAUUCUUCUUGUCCAAUUGUAUUGAUACCAAAAAUAAUUGAGAAAGCAUGAAAUGGAAUAUAUUGUUUUUGAUGGACUGGACCAUAAGGGGAGUAUUUUCUGACGGAACAUGUGCUUUAUCUUAGUGUCAACCAUCAAAGGUUUAUUGCGACGGAUAGAGAAGAAAAGGCAUGCCAUAAUAUCAUAAGCCUGAUGUAAACACAGAUAUGGUUCUAUUUCAGCUUCUGUAAACGCUUCGAAUUCCAAAACUCUGGUACCUCUGAGUGACUAUACACAUGUAUACAUUCGGUAGAAAACUAUGCUACCUCUGAGUUAUAUUGAUAAUGCGCGUAAUUGGUAGUAGCUCUGCCUAGGGUGGUUGGCUUGCUACUGACUGGGGGCAGCAACAGUGUGCAUUCGUGCUAGCUCUUCCUCCCCCAAUUACAAUGGUUGAAAUUGAGGGAACCUGGGCUGCUUUUGCUGUUGGUUGGGAGGACGAGCUGCACCGCGCAUUCAUGUUACCCCCAACCCCCACAACCCCACCCCCAUUAUUUUUGUGGUUCAGCUGGGGGACCAGACAGUGGUUUGUGUUCUGCUUUUAGAUCCUGGGUACCAAUGUAUUUAUAUUUAGUAUAUUAAAAUUGAGUGUCACCUUCUCAAGUUAAAUUGUUAUUACUUUUAGGCACCUCCUUCACCCAGCCGCUCCAUUGGGAUCCUGCUGCAGUCCUCGCCGCCACCUUCUCCUUCGCCCAGCUGGCCGCGCCCCCUUUCUUUGCAGCUUGACAUAAAGAUUAGCAUGUGUGUGUGUCCUGCGGUUUGAGAGGGACAAAAUAGGAGGUCACCAUGAAAUGUCGAAAGAGAAAGGGAGGCCGUAAGAGUGGAUCGUUCAUUUGUCAUUGGUUUCUCAUCACUUAUCCAAUACUUUCUUUGUUGCUAUCUUCUGAUGAUAUACUGACUUGCUAUAUGUAUAUUCUCAAUAUGUAAAUACGUAAGGGAGUGGAUACCAGUAUAUUACUCUUUCCGUCCAUAUAAUCAGAUUGCUGUUUGUCAAUUUUAUAAAAUUCUUUGGAUUUGCUCAAUAUGUGGCAUGUACCUAGGACCAUUCACUCCAAUGUGGUAUGAGAACAUUUAUUUUCUAAUUGUUCUUGGUUUGAUGUCAAGGCGUACUCAUUCUUGUAAUCUAUGUGGCUUUUUCAGAAACAGUAUGUUCCAAGAAGUUUAUUCAAGAGAGCUGGGCAUAUAGUUGUGUCAUGACUGCCAAUGCCCUACAGGAUGGCUUGGUUGAUGCAAUCCGUGUAUCCCUCAUAGAUCCACUUGGAACUCAUGCUGCAGGCCAUCAAUUAGGUGUGGAUAACCAUACUCAAGUCUGGUAGUGCGAUGGCUCCUGUGGAACUAAUCUCUGCACAAUUUGUUUCAAUGAGCACCCAGACCGCCCUGAUUGACCAGGCUCAAGGCAUGCCGUCGGCUCCUGUGCCCUCCUACUCCGACACCGCAGUGGGCGCGUCAAUGGCUGGAGCAGAGGAGGAGAUCCAGGCGGAGCGCGCCAUCUCCAUCGUCGUAUCUGUUGCUGCGUCCCUCGAUCUAUAUGUGUUCUUUUCCUGACCAUCCCAGUUGUGGUUGCCUGGAGCUCAUCCUUGAUUUGCUCUUUUUCCCUUGCAGGUUGGUCAGCUGCGGGUGCUGGUGCUUCUGGUCGAUUUGUCCUGCUGCGUCGGCCAUUGUUCUGUAGCUUGCAUCUGCAGUACAUUAUCAAAGAAACUGAAUCUGGAAGGUUAAGACAUUAGACAUCUAUUGAGAGUUAAUGAAAUUUAACACCUGAAGACUGCUGCCCAUACAACGAUGAAGAUGCCAUCUCCAACUAGAACAGUAUCAGCCUACUUGGACAUCGACUGGUCGCCAGUUGAACCAGCAACCAGCAGCCGACAUCAGCGAUUCAGCCGACAUCAAAUAUAUACCAAAUCAAAUCAAACACUACAAAGAUAUAUUUGAUUUGUAUGCCCUAUAUUAAACUCAGCUGUCCUGGGCAGCAUCUAUCUCUUGCUCUUGAUAUAUCUUUGUAGUGUUUGUGAUAUAUAUUGAACACAUUUAUUUCGAGCGGUUAUUCUAUUUGUAUGUUCUCAAAUGCUUUGUUAUAUUGAAGUUUUAAAUGGUGGGUCAUCGUGCUCAGCCAGGCAACGCGCGC